GAUGAACGCUGGCGGCGUGCUUAACACAUGCAAGUCGAACGGGAAUUAUUUUAUUGAAACUUCGGUCGAUAUGAUUUAAUUCUAGUGGCGGACGGGUGAGUAACGCGUGGGUAACCUGCCUUGUACAGGGGGAUAACAGUCAGAAAUGGCUGCUAAUACCGCAUCAGCGCACAGAGCUGCAUGGCUCCGUGUGAAAAACUACGGUGGUAUAAGAUGGACCCGCGUUGGAUUAGCUUGUUGGCAGGGUAACGGCCUACCAAGGCGACGAUCCAUAGCCGGCCUGAGAGGGUGAACGCCCACAUUGGGACUGAGACACGGCCCAGACUCCUACGGGAGGCAGCAGUGGGGAAUAUUGCACAAUGGGGGAAACCCUGAUGCAGCGACGCCGCGUGAAGGAAGAAGUAUCUCGGUAUGUAAACUUCUAUCAGCAGGGAAGAGAUUGACGGUACCUGACUAAGAAGCCCCGGCUAACUACGUG
Molecule: ribosomal RNA, 478 nt
Filed under: uncultured bacterium
Lineage: Bacteria
Description: partial 16S ribosomal RNA
Rfam family: Bacterial small subunit ribosomal RNA
Source: RNAcentral